AAUAAAUCCCACAGAGAAAUAAGAACAAUAAAAAAAGAAUAAUAUAUAUGGAAAAUAUUAACACUGCAUAUACCCAUUGUUUUAACAAAUGUUCAUUCUCCCUUAUGAUGUUUUUCUAUAAUUUUUGCUAUAUAAUUGUCAUACAUGGAAGACUUUACUUCACUUACCUUAAUUUGUAAAACAAGAUUAACAUGUUUUCUGCCUCCUCAUUAUCGAGCUCAAAUGCCCGCUGUUUUUAGUGGAGAGAAAUUACAUUCUCUUGUAACAGAAUACAGCUUUAUUUUUUGAUCCUUGAAUAUUUGAGAGUUGCCUGGAAAAAGUGAAGUUUCUGUUCCUUUAACUUUGCCUGCUAUACUCUGAAAAUUGACUUCAUGUUCUAGAAAUAACUUUUAAAAAAUCUUCUUCCUUCUGAGUCCUUUUGCACUUUCAUUUUACUGUAAUAAUCUUUGUGGUUUCACCAGUAAGAAGCAGCCAUGUGUGGGUAAAUAUUCUUUAGAAUAUAGUAAGCAAUUUUGCUGUCCAAAAUUAACAUGGCAGAAUAAUGCAUUCAAUUGACUUAUUUCCUUAUUGUGUAUGAUUAUACAGACAUGAAAGAAUUUGUGGAAAAACCAAUUAUUCAUGUAAAGUUAUUAUCCUUAGGAAAUUCCCCUAAACAAUUCCUGUUUUCCUCUUCUGAUAAGAUUAUUUUUCAAGACUAUUUCACUAAGUGGAUAGAGACUACUUACCAUCAAGCCUUGUGUUACCUCUGAGGAAGCAUUCUAACUUAUUGGCCAAAAGACUGCAGCGAAUUUUGUUUUGGGAGACUUCUAAGGACACUAAAUUUGAGUUUGAUUCAUUUAUUUCCACUUCCACAGAGUUGCAAUCAAUUCUGUAAGUGAUUCAUAAGCCAACAAGCAGAACACAUUGAAAUGAUUUGUAGUUUGUAAGAAUAACAUUUAUCAAGUUCCUGCUUUUAUUUAAACCUGCAUUAUGGUUAUUAUUGGACAAAGAAGUACCCCUAUAUCGUCACGGAAUGUAAAGUGAACCACAAGAAAAUUUAAUAGAUGCAAUUUAGUAACAUGCUAAUGAAAUUUCUAAAUUUGGAAUAUAUCUUCAUCCUAUAUUUGGCUAUUUUUCUUUUGGUGGCCAGCUCAUAUGUACUUUGCCCAGUGUUCUUAGUUUUUUUCCGGACAACUCAAAUGUAACAUGUCUGAAGCAAAACCAAGAAUGGAUAUGGACUUUAAAUGCAACAGCUGAAUUAAAGUCACUGUUUACUCAUACACAAGCUGUAUGGCUUUUGGCUAGUUAAUACAUCUGAAGGCUUAGAUCAAAGGAGUAUAUUAACAGAUGCACCUCAAAAGGCUAUUGUGAGAAUUAAUAAGACCAAUGUGUACAAUGGUACAGUGCUGGCUGUUCAAAAAUGAUAUGUGCAUUUGCAUUCAACAAAUGAUAGCUCCUUUCACUUCCAUUUUCUACACUUGGCCAAGUUGUUCAUCAAUUUCCAAUGAAAAAUAAUUUGAAUCAAUUCCAGAGUUGGGGAAUAAUCCUACAACUUCCCUUCCCUCAUUCUCCUAUAUCAAUUAAUUCACAGAGAUUUGCUUCCCUGCCUCAUAUUAUUUCUAGAGUUGGUCUUUUCUCCAUCUCUCAUAUUACUAAAGAGCCUCUUCCAACUGGACAUUUCACUAGUCUUUACCUGGUUCCCUAUAUCCAUUUUUGUUACUGUCUUCUGCCUAUCCAUUUUCUGAGCUUUUUUUGCUGUUAUUUUUCUAACUUCUAAAGACAGAUGCUUAGCUCAAUAAAUACUAGCCACUUUUAUUUUCUAAUGUACUCUUUUAAGGCUGUAAAAUGAUAGGUAUUGUUUUAACUGCACCCCAGAAGUUUUGAUAGGUAGUGAUUAUUGAUUCUACAUAUUUUAAAUUUUUCAGUGUUUCUUAACUUCAGAAAUACAGAAUUUAUUUUGCUAUCUUUUGUGAUUUUUUUCCAUUUUAAUGUUGCUGAUAGUAGAAAAAAAACUCUCUGAUUCCUUUUCUUUGAAAUAUGUCUUGUUUUAUUGUCCAGUCUGCAGUUCAUUUUUAUAAAUGUUCUAUCUGGGCUAAACAAAAUAAAUCUACCCUGUUGUAAUAUGUUUAGUGUUCUAUAUGUUAUGUCCAUUAAAUAUGGCUUAUUGUUUCAUUCAAAUAUUCUAUAAUUUACUGAUUUAUCUGCUUAAUGUAUUAGUUACUUAUGCAAACAUAUUUAUAUACUCAGCACUUAUAUAGCAAAAAAUCACAGAACAAGGAGAAAUCAACAUGCCUGUUAAAAAUCUCCCACUAUUUUACAUAACCACAUUUUUGUAAUAGUAAAUUCUUCUUGGUGAAUUGAACUUCCAAUUUUGAUAAAGUUAUCUUCAUUUCUAUGAAUAUAUUUGCCUCAAAGUUUAUUUAAUCUGAUAUUUACAUAUUUUUUUCUAGUUUUCUUUUGGUUCACAUUUGACUAAAAUAUCAUUUCCAUUCUUUUACAUGUAACCAUUCUUUAUCCUUUUUGUUUUGUUUUGAUUUUGUAUGGAG
Molecule: long non-coding RNA, 2525 nt
Filed under: Homo sapiens (human)
Lineage: Eukaryota; Metazoa; Chordata; Mammalia; Primates; Hominidae
Description: long non-coding RNA NONHSAT159587.1
Source: RNAcentral